CAAAAACAUAGCUAUGUGAAAUCACUCAUAGUAAUUUCUGCUCAAUGAACAGUUAAAUAGCCGCAGUACCCUGACUGUGCAAAGGUAGCGUAAUAAUUUGGCUUUUAAUUGAAGUCCUGUAUGAAUGAAAUAUUGAAGGAUAUCUUUAUUCUUAAUAUUAAUUGAAAUUACUUAUUAAGUGCAAAUACUUCUGUAUAAAUGAUAGACGAGAAGACCCUAGAAAUUUUAAUCAGAUAAACUUAAACUUUUUGUUGGGGCAACAAGGUAACAUUAAAUUUACCGUUUUGUACAUGAACAUUUUAUGUGAAAGGCUAAAUUACUCUAGGGAUAACAGCGUUAUUUUAAAAAGUUUGCGACCUCGAUGUUGGACUAGGAAAUUUUUGCUUAGAAGGCACAAUAUAAAGCUCUGUUCGAGC
Molecule: ribosomal RNA, 416 nt
Filed under: Ordtrachia australis
Lineage: Eukaryota; Metazoa; Mollusca; Gastropoda; Stylommatophora; Camaenidae
Description: partial 16S ribosomal RNA
Rfam family: Archaeal large subunit ribosomal RNA
Source: RNAcentral